Molecule: ribosomal RNA, 253 nt
Filed under: uncultured bacterium
Lineage: Bacteria
Description: partial 16S ribosomal RNA
Rfam family: Bacterial small subunit ribosomal RNA
Source: RNAcentral
UACGAAGGGGGCUAUCGUUGCUCGGAAUCACUGGGCGUAAAGCGCACGUAGGCGGCUUUCUAAGUCAGGGGUGAAAUCCUGGAGCUCAACUCCAGAACUGCCUUUGAUACUGGAGAGCUUGAGUCCGGAAGAGGUGAGUGGAACUCCGAGUGUAGAGGUGAAAUUCGUAGAUAUUCGGAAGAACACCAGUGGCGAAGGCGGCUCACUGGUCCGGUACUGACGCUGAUGUGCGAAAGCGUGGGGAGCAAACAGG